CCAGGCCUACCCCGGCCUUUCCCCUCAUUCUGGGCCGGGAAAAACAUGUGGAAAAUAUCCACGAGAUGGCGCAGGAUGCAGCGCGUGCGGCGGCGGGCGACUCAAAGGCGACGGCGACGGCGAGGUGGCGCUCUCCCCUCCGGUGGCCACCUUAUCACCGAUGAAACGGGCUAUUGUGAAGGUGAUGGGGUGAGUGUACUGGCUUGAGGGGUUUGUGAGGCUUAUGUUCUUGGAUGACCAGACAUUCUAAUUAUGAGAAACGUCAAGGGCCUAAUUGUGAGGGUGGCAUCCUCACCCUGUGGCAUUAAUUGAUGCUGCUGCUAUAUUUUUGCAUGAAUUCAGACAUGUUUGUGAAAUCAUUAUCUUUGAGCUCUAGGCCUUGAUGAUACUACAAUAUCAUUGUUUUAAUGAUUAAUCCAUAGUGCAAUUCUUGCACUGAGACAUCA
Molecule: long non-coding RNA, 446 nt
Organism: Oryza sativa Japonica Group (Japanese rice)
Lineage: Eukaryota; Viridiplantae; Streptophyta; Magnoliopsida; Poales; Poaceae
Source: RefSeq, a predicted model, not a curated record